This is an RNA transcript of Prunus persica (peach), 1951 nucleotides long. It is a transcript of the gene named transcription termination factor MTERF6, chloroplastic/mitochondrial-like, with no coding region annotated. The transcript is spliced from 2 exons. Lineage: Eukaryota; Viridiplantae; Streptophyta; Magnoliopsida; Rosales; Rosaceae. The record is from RefSeq and is a predicted model, not a curated record.
UAGAUUUUUCUUUUCGGGGCAACGUUAUCUGCGACUGCGAUACAUCAGCAGCUCAGCUGACGAUUUCAGUUCUCUCUUCUAAAGAAAUCUUCAAAUUGAAAUUGAGACAUCUGACAUGGUACCGCUCUACAGUUUGAAGAGCCUUAGAUUGGAUUGUUCAAUAUAUUCUUGUACAUUUGCUUCCAAAACUAAAAGAUUUAUUGUUGGAGAGCUAAAACCCUGGCAAUUUUCUCUUCAAAAUCAGUUACUUUACAGACCCCUCACCACUGAAAUCUCAGAAAAUCCAAACAAUUCCACAGUCGCUUACCUCAUAAACUCAUGUGGCUUGUCGCCGGAAGGUGCCAUUUCAGCAGCCAAGUGGGUCGAGUUGCAGUCCCCAGAAAGAGCAGACUCUGUUUUGGCUCUUUUGAGAAACCAUGGACUCUCUGAAACCCAGAUCUCCAAGAUGGUGAGGUCGCGUCCACAACUUCUUUUAGCCAAUCCUGAGAAAACCCUUUUGCCCAAGCUUGCGUUUUUCAGCUCUCUUGGAAUUUCAAGGCAGGACCUUGCAAAAACUCUGGCUUUUAAUCCGAAGCUUUUGUCACGAAGCUUGAAGAAACAGAUCAUACCCACGUACAAUUUCCUUAGGAGUCUGGUUUCUGAGAAAAAGCUUGUUGCUAUUUUCAAGCAUAACUCGUGUAUUUUCGUGGAAAGUAACUGCAAUGUGUUGGCAAAUAUUGGACUUUUGAGAGAAUUGGGUAUGCCCCAAUCAUGCAUUUCUAUGUUGCUAGCUCACUACACUACCGUUUUGAUGAUAAAUCCUGAAAAUUUUGGUCAACUUGUGGGUGAGGUUAAGGAAAUGGGAUUUAAUCUGGAAAAGUCGACUUCAGUGAAUGCACUGCGUGCCUUGUGUGGUAAGAAUAAGCUGAUAUGGAAUCGAAGUCGAGAAGUUUUUAGGAGGUGGGGUUGGUCUGAGGAUGAUGUUCUCUCUGCUUUCAGGAAGAACCCGCAGUUUAUGAUUGUGUCGGAGAAGAAACUACUGCAGGCAAUGGACCUUUUAGUGAAUAAGAUGGGAUGGCCAUCAGAAAUGAUUGCCAAAUAUCCAGUGGUCCUGAGCCUCAGUUUGGAGAGGAGACUUAUUCCAAGGUGUUCGGUUGUUAAAGUUCUAUUGUCGAAAGGAUUGGUAAAUGAAAACUUGAAUUUAGGUUCUGUGUUGCUUCCUGCAGAGAAGGAGUUCUUGGGGAGGUUUGUAACCGGAUAUCUCAAAGAAGUACCGCAAUUGUGGGAUGUAUAUCAAGGGAAAGUGGAUAUCCAGGAUGUAUGAUAUUGAUACCUUGAAAUGGCUGAGCUUGUAUAUAGACUUACCCCCUGAAUAUCCAGAAUACAAUUGGAGAAUUUCCUGUUGCGGUGGAGUUGCCUUCCAUAAUCUGGAAAAUCCUUAGAACCUGAAACUAGAAGGUGAGUUCCAUCAGUUAGGAUAAAAAGAGAGGAGUGGUUGCUGGAAGCAUGAGCUUGUAACGGAGAAAAACUUAGCUGUAACCGGUUCACACAAGUUUUCUCCUUGCAAUGACAUGAUGUAUAUACAUAGCGAGGCUAGAGGGCCAUCACAUGUAGUGUUAACUGGUUAUGUAUUGUGGCAAUUGUGCCUUUGUUUUCGAUUACAAGUGAUGAUUGUGACCUAAACAUGAAUUCGUGUGUCAAAUAUUUUAGAGGUAUGUAGGAGAUUCUUCAUUGUUGUUCAAAUUGAAAUUGCUGGUUUGUACAAAAAGAGUUGCCCCUAAUGUGUGUGGCAGGUGUAACUUGCCGAAUGUAGGAAGCACCGUACAACUAUCCAACGAGCAAACGCAAGAUCACUUUCCAACGUUCUGCAAGAUGUGUGUGCCACUUUCCUGUACCUCCAUUUCCCAAAAAAGCUUCCAAAAAAAGGUUCCAAAGCCUUCUAACUCCUCCAAUAAAUAUAAAUAGACUUGAA